Molecule: small RNA, 577 nt
Filed under: Pan troglodytes (chimpanzee)
Lineage: Eukaryota; Metazoa; Chordata; Mammalia; Primates; Hominidae
Description: retained intron
Source: RNAcentral
UUUGGUAAGAGACAGGGUAUUGGGCUUCUGGAGAAACCUUUGUGUCCCUAACCUGUUCCAUCCUGUCCCCAGGACAUUGACAAGCAGUACGUGGGCUUCGCCACACUGCCCAACCAGGUGCACCGCAAGUCGGUGAAGAAAGGCUUUGACUUCACACUCAUGGUGGCUGGUGAGUCAGGCCUGGGGAAGUCCACACUGGUCCACAGCCUCUUCCUGACAGACUUGUAUAAGGACCGGAAGCUGCUCAGUGCUGAGGGUGAGUGGCCCCCAGGAGGCCCUGGCACUGAUCCCCGGUCCCCUUCCAUGGGACCUCUCCAAGGACUCCCUUUCAGGUCCAGCUCCCACUGUUCUGUUCUCGCGGUGUGGGUCCCCUGGGGGUAGGGCCAAGGCACCAAGAUGGAUGAGGACGAGGGUCCUGGCUGCCAAGGGUGAGGGGCUGAGGGUUGGAGAGGCCCCUCCAGUGGCCCCUUCCCCGUAGAGCGCAUCAGCCAGACGGUAGAGAUUCUAAAACACACGGUGGACAUUGAGGAGAAGGGAGUCAAGCUGAAGCUCACCAUCGUGGACACGCCGGGAUUCG